ACGAGGUUCGUCAUCAGGCACGUAUCUUUGUAUCAAACGGUCUUCCGAAGCAGUUUCCACAUAUGUCGUCGUCUUAACCUACGCCUUGGGUCCAGACGUUCAUUGGCUGUACAGUCAUAAUUGAACCUUUUAUGUACAGAUAUCUUUUAUUUUUCUUAUCAGUACAAAAAGAAUGAAUAAUCGUCUACACUGCCUUUGUGGGCCCGUCGUAACCCUAAAGGUAAGUUUACGUCCCACUCGGUUGUAUAAAUGAUGUAUUUUAUAGUGAUGAAAAUAAUACAAAUUGCGUUCAACAGAAUACUUAUUACGAUAACGCAUUCGAUUUUGCAGGAUUGAUUUAGUUCCAAGUGACGACAGAAUUUUCUGUUUUACAAGCGCUGCUUACAUUAGGCAGCUUUUAACGUAGUUUACCCCCAAAUGAGAAGAAGAUACAAAGGAGUUCAAAUUAUUCUUUGUCGAAUUUCAACAGCCCUUUUCAAAAAAUGAAGGUUUAUGUGACGUUGGUGGAAUCUUGGGCAAAACGGGAUACCGAAAAUGACCACUGUUUCCUCUUCGCUUAAUGAUAAUGCCUCGACUCCAGAUAUUCUGUAGUGUGACAGAAGAGGAAUGGUGCAUACGACAAAUUAUCUGUUCUUAGGACAACGUGGCAAUUGUCUUCUGAAGGUUUCGAGAGGGGACAGCGGUCUUCGACAAUUCUGGGUUACUGUCAUGGCACUCAAGAAGGUAAUAUUAGUACUUAAUCUGUAACCUUAUGGACUGUUCUUAUCAUUAUUUUAUCAUAUUUUGAAGUGUUUACCAGCAAACGUAUAUGUGUCUAUAUAACAGAAAAAUGUUUAGUUGGUGAUCGUCUGUUCUUCAGCGAGUCUGGACCUUACAGGAAAACAUUCAUGGCUGCAAAUUCAUUCUGUCCAAGACAAAAUCAAUGCCAGAGAAUGACAACAAGUGAUCAAGGUGAUUUUGCAGAAGAAUGUCUUAAGGCACACAAUGAAUACCGAGAGAAACAUGGAGUCCCACCUUUAACACUAAACCAAGGGGUUCGUAUUACUUUCAUUUUACGAUGCCUUUAUAUAUCCUGUUGAAAUAGUUUUAACUAACUCCCUUAU
This is a non-coding RNA of Zootermopsis nevadensis, 1103 nucleotides long. The record is from RefSeq and is a predicted model, not a curated record. Lineage: Eukaryota; Metazoa; Arthropoda; Insecta; Blattodea; Termopsidae.